This 419-nucleotide long non-coding RNA is filed under the name Cicer arietinum (chickpea). Its description in RNAcentral is "long non-coding RNA (CARI_LNC000584)". Lineage: Eukaryota; Viridiplantae; Streptophyta; Magnoliopsida; Fabales; Fabaceae. The record is from RNAcentral.
UGUUAUACGGUUGCAUUUCUUGAAGACAGAAAAUAUUCAACAUUGGCUCCAUUUGGCGGCUUUGCAUUUAUAGCAGCUUGGGGUAGCUUGUUUUUCUGACGACUUCACUGUUUUGGUUUGUGAUGCUACAAUAUCUAUAGAAUGUUUGUUAAUAAGCAGUUAGACUAUCAUCAUCAGAUUUUACAAUUGCUUAGAGCCUGCAUACCUCAUAUUUGUAAAUAUUUUUCUAUUUAUCUUGCCAAUGGUUUAUGCUCUUGAAAUCAAUGCAUUUACCUAUAUAUUUCACACUUGGUUACAAAACUUGUAUGCAUUUGUUUCAUUGGAUGAUGUUCCAAAAAGAUUGAAGUUUUCUGUUAAAGCGAACGCAUGCAUGUGUAUUAGAUUAUUAGUGUAUCCCACAACAGAAAAAUAAAGAUGAC